RNAcentral lists this transfer-messenger RNA (368 nucleotides) under Actinomycetales. Its description in RNAcentral is "Angustibacter sp001426435 Standard tmRNA". It matches the Rfam family "transfer-messenger RNA". Rfam says of the family: Bacterial tmRNA, also known as 10Sa RNA or SsrA, is named for its dual tRNA and mRNA-like properties. Its role is to liberate the mRNA from a stalled ribosome. RNAcentral also lists the same sequence under 1 other name. The record is from RNAcentral. Lineage: Bacteria; Bacillati; Actinomycetota; Actinomycetes.
GGGGGUGAUCGGUUUCGACGUUGGUCGUACUCCCAGGAGAAGCGGGUCGAGGACGCACGGUUAUCUCGUAAACGAUCCGUGCAAACCAACAGGUGCCGAUUCUCACAGCACCGACUUCGCCCUCGCCGCCUGAGCGAGCGUAGAAGUCCGUCAGCCCGUGGUCGCUCUCGCCACGGUUCCUGGCGUCAGCUAGAGAGCCACUGCUUCCGCCGCACGCCGCGGGCGGCGGAGGGACACUUACGCGGCUGAGCCCGGCAGCGACUUGCCUGCGUGAUCGCUGGGGCCGAGAAAUCCCGUAGCAGGCUGCACCCGGAGAAGUCCUGGUUCUGCGCCAGCGGACGCGGGUUCGAUUCCCGCCACCUCCACCA